GAUGAGGUGGCCGAGCAGUUAAGGUGAUAGCCUGUUAAUCCAUUGUGCUCUGCACGCGUGGGUUCGACUCCCAUCCUUGUCG
RNAcentral lists this transfer RNA (82 nucleotides) under Scleropages formosus (Asian bonytongue). It matches the Rfam family "tRNA". Rfam says of the family: Transfer RNA (tRNA) molecules are approximately 80 nucleotides in length. Their secondary structure includes four short double-helical elements and three loops (D, anti-codon, and T loops). Lineage: Eukaryota; Metazoa; Chordata; Actinopteri; Osteoglossiformes; Osteoglossidae. The record is from Rfam by way of RNAcentral.